This 439-nucleotide ribosomal RNA is filed under the name uncultured bacterium. Its description in RNAcentral is "partial 16S ribosomal RNA". It matches the Rfam family "Bacterial small subunit ribosomal RNA", at positions 338 to 795 of the family's 1533-position model. The record is from RNAcentral.
CCUCCGGGUGACAGCAGUGGGGACUAUUGCACAAUGGGGGAAACCCUGAUGCAGCGACGCCGCGUGAAGGAAGAAGUAUUUCGGUAUGUAAACUUCUAUCAGCAGGGAAGAAAAUGACGGUACCUGACUAAGAAGCCCCGGCUAACUACGUGCCAGCAGCCGCGGUAAUCCGUAGGGGGCAAGCGUUAUCCGAAUUUACUGGGUGUAAAGGGAGCGUAGGCGGUUUAGCAAGUCAGAAGGGAAGGCCCGGGGCUAAACUCCGGGACUGCUUUUGGAACUGUUAAACUAGUUUGCAGGAAGGGAAGUGGAAUUCCUAGUGUAGCGGUGAAAUGCGUAGAUAUUAGGAGGAACACCAGUGGCGAAGGCGGCUUACUGGACUGUAAAUGACGCUGAGGCUCGAAAGCGUGGGGAGCAAACAGGAUUAGAUACCCCAGUAGUC